AUUAAAGGGUGAUUAGGGAAUAUACAGUGGGAGAUAUUAAAGGGUGAUUAGGAAAUAUACAGUAGGAGAUAUUAAAGGGUGAUUAGGAAAUAUACAGUAGGAGAUAUUAAAGGGUGAUUAAAGUAAUUAAAGCAAUGAGAUGUUAUAAUGUUUAAAAUAUUAGAAGUUUAGGAUGUAAGGGGGGUUAGGAGUUAGGUAGGAGUUAAUAAAUUAGAUUGGAGUGAGAUUAUAAUUGAGUGGAGUAAGGAAGGUUGUUUAAAAAUGUAUGUUUUAAAAGUUAAAGUUAAUGAAGUAUAUAAAAGGGUGCUAGUUUGAUCCAGAAAGGUCAGAGCAGCCAGGAGGUUGAACCAUACGUCCUGCUUAGGUGAGAAAACGGCGGGGGUUAGGGGGUGCUGAAAAAACAACCUUUUGAGCAAUGCCCGCUUUGGGUGUGACCCACUGAGUGCGUAAUUUGAGCAUGUGUUAGCCACAAAGAGUUAGCAGAAAGGAAGGAGAUUAGCAGGCAUGCUAGAAGAACCGGUCACCUGCAGGAAGAAGAUAUUUGCUGUAGCUUUUUAGCUUAAAUUAUAUCUAGAUUUUUAUUAUAUUCAUAUUUUUAUUGUACUUAGUUAAAGUAAAAUUAUAGGAGGAAUUCUUAAGGUUACCUCAUUGAUAGAAGUGUGUUAAAGUAGUUGUUAGAGGGUUUUUUUACACCGUCUGAGGGACUGAUCAUCCUGAGGCGUGAGACAAAAAACUGUUUAUGAAGUUGUAGAAGGUGUACGGCCUGUUGGACGACCUGGCCAAUCAACUGUGGAUAGUGCUGCAGCACGCCAUGGGCAAGGCUGGAGGCCGCAGCGAAGCUGGUGCAGUGCUUCCCAACACAUUACAACACCUUGACAGGUUAAUCAAGCUCUACCACAACACUGUGUCCAUGAGGGUGCAGGAACUGGCUGCAGAGGACAUGACGGCCAACAGCAUUGUGUCCCUUCUCACCUGGUUCCUCAAUUAAUACUUACAAAAGUUUAUCUGCCCAGCUUAGACCACUGAGGUAUAAUAACAACUGGAGACUGCGUCCAAGAUGUCCAACCUUAGUUUUUCAAGGUAAUCUACUAGCGUUUGUAUACGCCGAUACAUGGACUGUCUAUAUCUGGGUUGUAUCCAGGUUAUAAGGAGCAACAUCUCAUGUGCACUAGCAUCAAGUUCCGGUCAUAGCAACUUUGAUCAAGGGUGGAGGAAAUGGCAUCCCUUGAGAGGGCAAGAACGAAAUGUAUGUUAGGAGAAGUGCAAUAUUAUCACAAGGAGAUGUAUACGUGGAAU
Non-coding RNA from Salmo salar (Atlantic salmon), 1296 nucleotides. The record is from RefSeq and is a predicted model, not a curated record. Lineage: Eukaryota; Metazoa; Chordata; Actinopteri; Salmoniformes; Salmonidae.